Molecule: ribosomal RNA, 255 nt
Filed under: uncultured bacterium
Lineage: Bacteria
Description: partial 16S ribosomal RNA
Rfam family: Bacterial small subunit ribosomal RNA
Source: RNAcentral
UACGAAGGGGGCUAGCGUUGCUCGGAAUCACUGGGCGUAAAGCGCACGUAGGCGGGUUCUAAGUCGGAGGUGAAAUCCUGGAGCUCAACUCCAGAACUGCCUUCGAUACUGGGAAUCUCGAGUCCGGGAGAGGUGAGUGGAACUGGCGAGUGUAGAGGUGAAAUUCGUAGAUAUUCGCAAGAACACCAGUGGCGAAGGCGGCUCACUGGCCCACAACUGACGCUGAGGCGGCGAAAGCUAGGGGAGCAAACAGGG